Molecule: ribosomal RNA, 1349 nt
Filed under: Sarothrogammarus sp. 2 ZH-2014
Lineage: Eukaryota; Metazoa; Arthropoda; Malacostraca; Amphipoda; Gammaridae
Description: partial 18S ribosomal RNA
Rfam family: Eukaryotic small subunit ribosomal RNA
Source: RNAcentral
CGAUGGCCGACGCUUGCUUGUCUUGCGUCGUGCUCUGACGGAUGCUUUUAUUAGACCAAGCCGCUGAGGACCUGAGGUGUGUGUGUUUACGCGCGCACCCUCUUGUUCGACUCGUGUAAUGGUGACUCUGGAUAACCAAUUCUGACAAGCGCACGUACCCCUCUUCUGAGCGGGACGGCGCUGCCACUUUCGAGUGUCUGCCUUAUCAGCUAUCAACCGUUCGUUAUGCGCGACCGAUGGCUUUGACGGGUAACGGGGAAUCAGGGUUCGAUUCCGGAGAGGCAGCCUGAGAGACGGCUACCACGUCCAAGGACGGCAGCAGGCACGCAAAUUACCCAAUCCCAGCCAAUGGGGGAGGUAGUGACGAAAUCUAACGAUGCGGGCGCCCUUUCUGGGGCCCCGCAAUCGGAAUGGGCACUUUCUAAACAACCUGUUGAGAACCUACUGAAGGGCAAGUCUGGUGCCAGCAGCCGCGGUAAUUCCAGCUUCAGCAGCAUCUAUUAAAGUUGCUGCGGUUAAAAGGCUCGCAGUUGAAUGUCUGUAUCGAGCGCAGGUCAGGUGGACGUUGGGGCGUGGAAGCACGGGCAGUUGGAUGUGCUCGGUGGGUCUCGUACUCGCCGUCUCUCCUUCGGCUUUUCCAAGGAAUUGACGGAAAGGCACCACCAGGCGUGGAGCCUGCGGCUUAAUUUGACUCAACACGGGCCAUCUCACCAGGCCAGCACUCUUGUACGAUUGACAGAUUGAGAGCUCUUUCUCGAUUCAGUGGAUGGUGGUGCAUGGCCGUUCUUAGUUGGUGGAGUGAUCUGUCUGGUUAAUUCCGAUAACGAACGAGACUCUCCCCUGCUAACUAGUCGGUUGGAUCUUGAUCUACCGGGUUGCGUGCCGAGUAACUCUCGCUGGCACGUGCGCGUGCGUCGGCGCUUGGGGCAACCCUCGCGUCGGUGUGCCUGUUUCGUGUCCGGUGUUGGAUGCCUUGGAUCACACUGCACCCCAAGUCCGCCGCUCAUGCUAUAACUCUUCUUAGAGGGAUUCACGGCACUGAAGCCGUAAGAGACUGAGAGCAAUAACAGGUCUGUGAUGCCCUUAGAUGCUCUGGGCCGCACGCGCGCUACAAUGCCGGGCACAGCAGGUGUUUCUCCUGCUCCGACAGUAGCGGGUAACCCUCUGAAAGCCAGUGUUCUUGCAAGUGCAACCUCCCUUGUGGAAUUGCACAGAGGCGUGCUUGGGCCUGGGACUUGCAAUUCUUUCCCACCAACGAGGAAUGCCUAGUAGCGGCGGGUCACUGAGCCCGCCGUGACUCAGUCCCUGCCCUUUGUACACACCGCCCGUCGCUACUACCGAUUGGGUGU